CUUUUAGACUUUUAGUCUAUAUUUCAUUCCUUAAAAACCAAACCUUGUAAUUAGAAAUGAUAAACUAAGCAGGUCAACAGUGUCCAUUUCAAAGAAUCAGAACUCUUUCAGAAUUAAAGGAGCAUGGUUAGACAUUUUCAUCAACUCAGAGCUAAGAAUAUUAACCCAAAAGGUCAAUAUUACAGCACCGAGCAAUUUUCAGAUGGUGUACACAUUUUUCAAUCACAAAGGUCAAGGCUCAAAUGAAAAACAUCAUCAAUAUUAUCUCCGAUAACUGUUUGCUUGAAUUUAUCACUUAUUACCCACUUUUCUUAGAUGUUAUUAUUCAUCAACUAAUAACAGAGGCAACUUGCAUGAAUGCAGGCAGGCCAAUAAAACAGAAAUGUACACACCUGCUUGUUUCGUGUCCUUUCCUCCUCAUGAAAAGCCAAUU
Molecule: unclassified non-coding RNA, 433 nt
Filed under: Hevea brasiliensis (rubber tree)
Lineage: Eukaryota; Viridiplantae; Streptophyta; Magnoliopsida; Malpighiales; Euphorbiaceae
Source: RNAcentral